UUCCCAGGAGUUUCCAUUUGGUGAUCAGCACUAAACACAGACCACCAACCAUGGAGUUUGGGCUGAGCUGGGUUUUCCUUGUUGCUAUUUUAAAAGGUGUCAAGUGUGAGGUGCAGCUGGUGGAGUCUGGCGGAGGCUUGGCACAGCCUGGGGGGUCCCUGAGACUCUCCUGCGCAGCCUCUGGAUUCACCUUCAGUGACCACUACAUGCAGUGGGUCCUCCAGGCUCCAGGGAAGGGGCUGGAGUGGGUAGGAUUAAUUAGAAACAAAGCUGAUGGUGAGACAACAGACUACGCUGCAUCUGUGAAAGGCAGAGUCACUAUCUCCAGAGAUGAUUCGAAAAGCAUCACCUCUCUGCAAAUGAGCAUCCUGAAAACCGAGGACACGGCCGUGUAUUACUGUGCGAGGAACACAGUGAGGGGAGACCAGUGUGAGCCCGGACACAAACCUCCCUGCAGGCGCGCGCGCGGCCACCAGGGGGCUCUCGGAACCCACUGCGGACAGGACCAGUCCCAGGAGCAGAGCUAUGUCACAGGCCACAUGGACCUAAGUCCUUGA
Molecule: non-coding RNA, 557 nt
Organism: Piliocolobus tephrosceles (Ugandan red Colobus)
Lineage: Eukaryota; Metazoa; Chordata; Mammalia; Primates; Cercopithecidae
Source: the annotation of a RefSeq genome assembly